UACAGAGGUGGCAAGCGUUGUUCGGAAUUACUGGGCGUAAAGGGCGCGUAGGCGGCCUUCUAAGUCGGACGUGAAAUCCCCCGGCUUAACCUGGGAACUGCGUCUGAUACUGGGAGGCUUGAGUAUGGGAGAGGGAUGUAGAAUUCCAGGUGUAGCGGUGAAAUGCGUAGAUAUCUGGAGGAAUACCGGUGGCGAAGGCGGCAUCCUGGACCAUAACUGACGCUGAGGCGCGAAAGCUAGGGGAGCAAACGGG
This 253-nucleotide ribosomal RNA is filed under the name uncultured bacterium. Its description in RNAcentral is "partial 16S ribosomal RNA". It matches the Rfam family "Bacterial small subunit ribosomal RNA", at positions 524 to 776 of the family's 1533-position model. The record is from RNAcentral.